Molecule: ribosomal RNA, 445 nt
Filed under: uncultured bacterium
Lineage: Bacteria
Description: bacterial SSU rRNA
Rfam family: Bacterial small subunit ribosomal RNA
Source: RNAcentral
GGAUUGUAAAUUCCUGUCGUUAGGGACGAUAAUGACGGUACCUAACAAGAAAGCACCGGCUAACUACGUGCCAGCAGCCGCGGUAAAACGUAGGGUGCAAGCGUUGUCCGGAAUUACUGGGUGUAAAGGGAGCGCAGGCGGGAAGACAAGUUGGAAGUGAAAACCAUGGACUCAACCCAUGAAUUGCUUUCAAAACUGUUUUUCUUGAGUAGUGCAGAGGUAGAUGGAAUUCCCGGUGUAGCGGUGGAAUGCGUAGAUAUCGGGAGGAACACCAGUGGCGAAGGCGGUCUACUGGGCACCAACUGACGCUGAGGCUCGAAAGCAUGGGUAGCAAACAGGAUUAGAUACCCUGGUAGUCCAUGCCGUAAACGAUGAUUACUAGGUGUUGGGGGAUUGACCCCCUCAGUGCCGCAGUUAACACAAUAAGUAAUCCACCUGGGGAGUA